GAUGAACGCUGGCGGCGUGCCUAAUACAUGCAAGUCGAGCGAACGGACGAGAAGCUUGCUUCUCUGAUGUUAGCGGCGGACGGGUGAGUAACACGUGGAUAACCUACCUAUAAGACUGGGAUAACUUCGGGAAACCGGAGCUAAUACCGGAUAAUAUUUUGAACCGCAUGGUUCAAAAGUGAAAGACGGUCUUGCUGUCACUUAUAGAUGGAUCCGCGCUGCAUUAGCUAGUUGGUAAGGUAACGGCUUACCAAGGCAACGAUGCAUAGCCGACCUGAGAGGGUGAUCGGCCACACUGGAACUGAGACACGGUCCAGACUCCUACGGGAGGCAGCAGUAGGGAAUCUUCCGCAAUGGGCGAAAGCCUGACGGAGCAACGCCGCGUGAGUGAUGAAGGUCUUCGGAUCGUAAAACUCUGUUAUUAGGGAAGAACAUAUGUGUAAGUAACUGUGCACAUCUUGACGGUACCUAAUCAGAAAGCCACGGCUAACUACGUGCCAGCAGCCGCGGUAAUACGUAGGUGGCAAGCGUUAUCCGGAAUUAUUGGGCGUAAAGCGCGCGUAGGCGGUUUUUUAAGUCUGAUGUGAAAGCCCACGGCUCAACCGUGGAGGGUCAUUGGAAACUGGAAAACUUGAGUGCAGAAGAGGAAAGUGGAAUUCCAUGUGUAGCGGUGAAAUGCGCAGAGAUAUGGAGGAACACCAGUGGCGAAGGCGACUUUCUGGUCUGUAACUGACGCUGAUGUGCGAAAGCGUGGGGAUCAAACAGGAUUAGAUACCCUGGUAGUCCACGCCGUAAACGAUGAGUGCUAAGUGUUAGGGGGUUUCCGCCCCUUAGUGCUGCAGCUAACGCAUUAAGCACUCCGCCUGGGGAGUACGACCGCAAGGUUGAAACUCAAAGGAAUUGACGGGGACCCGCACAAGCGGUGGAGCAUGUGGUUUAAUUCGAAGCAACGCGAAGAACCUUACCAAAUCUUGACAUCCUUUGACGACUCUAGAGAUAGAGCCUUCCCCUUCGGGGGACAAAGUGACAGGUGGUGCAUGGUUGUCGUCAGCUCGUGUCGUGAGAUGUUGGGUUAAGUCCCGCAACGAGCGCAACCCUUAAGCUUAGCUGCCAUCAUUAAGUUGGGCACUCUAAGUUGACUGCCGGUGACAAACCGGAGGAAGGUGGGGAUGACGUCAAAUCAUCAUGCCCCUUAUGAUUUGGGCUACACACGUGCUACAAUGGACAAUACAAAGGGCAGCGAAACCGCGAGGUCAAGCAAAUCCCAUAAAGUUGUUCUCAGUUCGGAUUGUAGUCUGCAACUCGACUACAUGAAGCUGGAAUCGCUAGUAAUCGUAGAUCAGCAUGUUACGGUGAAUACGUUCCCGGGUCU
Molecule: ribosomal RNA, 1372 nt
Filed under: uncultured bacterium
Lineage: Bacteria
Description: bacterial SSU rRNA
Rfam family: Bacterial small subunit ribosomal RNA
Source: RNAcentral